This 291-nucleotide ribosomal RNA is filed under the name uncultured bacterium. Its description in RNAcentral is "partial 16S ribosomal RNA". It matches the Rfam family "Archaeal small subunit ribosomal RNA", at positions 455 to 746 of the family's 1478-position model. The record is from RNAcentral.
GUGCCAGCCGCCGCGGUACUACCGGCAGCUCAAGUGAUGUCCCAUAUUAUUGGGCCUAAAGCGUCCGUAGCUGGCCGCGCAAGUCCGUCGGGAAAUCCACCUGCCUAACAGGUGGGCGUCCGGCGGAAACUGUGUGGCUUGGAACCGGAAGGCUCAGAGAGUACGUCCGGGGUAGGAGUGAAAUCCCGUAAUCCCGCACGGACCACCGAUGGCGAAAGCACUUCGAGAAAACGGAUCCGACAGUGAGGGACGAAAGCCAGGGUCUCCAACCGGAUUAGAUACCCUGUAGUC